AAGAAACCAACAGGGAUUGCCCCAGUAACGGCGAGUGAAGCGGCAACAGCUCAAAUUUGAAAUCUGGCCCCCAGGGCCCGAGUUGUAAUUUGCAGAGGAUGCUUUUGGCGCGGUGCCUUCCGAGUUCCCUGGAACGGGACGCCAUAGAGGGUGAGAGCCCCGUCUGGUCGGACGCCUAGCCUGUGUAAAGCUCCUUCGACGAGUCGAGUAGUUUGGGAAUGCUGCUCUAAAUGGGAGGUAUAUGUCUUCUAAAGCUAAAUACCGGCCAGAGACCGAUAGCGCACAAGUAGAGUGAUCGAAAGAUGAAAAGCACUUUGAAAAGAGGGUUAAAUAGUACGUGAAAUUGUUGAAAGGGAAGCGCUUGUGACCAGACUUGGGCCCGGUGGAUCAUCCAGCGUUCUCGCUGGUGCACUCCGCCGGGUUCAGGCCAGCAUCAGUUCGCCGCGGGGGAAAAAGGCUUCGGGAACGUGGCUCCUACGGGAGUGUUAUAGCCCGUUGCAUAAUACCCUGGGGCGGACUGAGGUUCGCGCUCCGCAAGGAUGCUGGCGUAAUGGUCAUCAGCGAC
This 565-nucleotide ribosomal RNA is filed under the name Purpureocillium lilacinum. Its description in RNAcentral is "eukaryotic LSU rRNA". It matches the Rfam family "Eukaryotic large subunit ribosomal RNA", at positions 59 to 648 of the family's 3401-position model. The record is from RNAcentral. Lineage: Eukaryota; Fungi; Ascomycota; Sordariomycetes; Hypocreales; Ophiocordycipitaceae.